AUUGAACGCUGGCGGCAGGCCUAACACAUGCAAGUCGAACGGUAGCACAGAGAGCUUGCUCUCGGGUGACGAGUGGCGGACGGGUGAGUAACGUCUGGGAAACUGCCCGAUGGAGGGGGAUAACUACUGGAAACGGUAGCUAAUACCGCAUAACGUCGCAAGACCAAAGUGGGGGACCUUCGGGCCUCACACCAUCGGAUGUGCCCAGAUGGGAUUAGCUAGUAGGUGGGGUAAUGGCUCACCUAGGCGACGAUCCCUAGCUGGUCUGAGAGGAUGAACAGCCACACGGGAACUGAGACACGGUCCAGACUCCUACGGGAGGCAGCAGUGGGGAAUAUUGCACAAUGGGCGCAAGCCUGAUGCAGCCAUGCCGCGUGUAUGAAGAAGGCCUUCGGGUUGUAAAGUACUUUCAGCGGGGAGGAAGGCGGUGAAGUUAAUAGCUUCACCGAUUGACGUUACCCGCAGAAGAAGCACCGGCUAACUCCGUGCCAGCCGCCGCGGUAA
Molecule: ribosomal RNA, 504 nt
Filed under: uncultured bacterium
Lineage: Bacteria
Description: partial 16S ribosomal RNA
Rfam family: Bacterial small subunit ribosomal RNA
Source: RNAcentral